GGCCCCUUCGUCUAGCGGUUAGGAUCCAUGGUUUUCAUCCAUGUUACAGGAGUUCAAUUCUCCUAGGGGUCACCA
Molecule: transfer RNA, 75 nt
Filed under: Sulfurovum sp.
Lineage: Bacteria; Pseudomonadati; Campylobacterota; Epsilonproteobacteria; Campylobacterales; Sulfurovaceae
Also listed under: 3 other names
Description: tRNA-Glu
Rfam family: tRNA
About the family: Transfer RNA (tRNA) molecules are approximately 80 nucleotides in length. Their secondary structure includes four short double-helical elements and three loops (D, anti-codon, and T loops).
Source: RNAcentral